CAGAGCUGUGGAGUGUGACAAUGGUGUUUGUGUCUAAACUAUCAAACGCCAUUAUCACACUAAAUAGCUACUG
This is a non-coding RNA of Pongo abelii (Sumatran orangutan), 73 nucleotides long. The record is from Rfam. NCBI's taxonomy places the organism in Eukaryota, Metazoa, Chordata, Mammalia, Primates, Hominidae.